CACGGUUUCACAAGGUUACCCAGCGUUUCAUAGUGAUCACCGGGUUAAUUGACACUUGCAUACGCGGUUACGAUCAGUAGUUGAAAUAUAGAACUACUGAGAACUGGGGAUAAGGGAAUCGGUUUUAGAACGCCGUUACGCACGAGGAAUAGUAUUCGCUCUGCCGUCCGGUCAGUGAAGCAAAAAAAUACCGAGUUCUAGA
Cinara cedri is the source of this 202-nucleotide non-coding RNA. Lineage: Eukaryota; Metazoa; Arthropoda; Insecta; Hemiptera; Aphididae. The record is from the annotation of a GenBank genome assembly.